Columba livia (rock pigeon) is the source of this 13403-nucleotide long non-coding RNA. RefSeq lists it as uncharacterized. The transcript is spliced from 3 exons. Lineage: Eukaryota; Metazoa; Chordata; Aves; Columbiformes; Columbidae. The record is from RefSeq and is a predicted model, not a curated record.
CAUUGGAAAUGUCUUUAUCUCCAGUCCAAUGACUCUUUCAUGAACUACAUUCAACAUGAGCUCCCUUGGUUUAAUGCUCUGGCUUGUACUUCACCCUGUAUGCCUAGUAAACACAGUGAAAAUGGAACUAAGUUAGACCUAUAUGUGCCCAGCAAGUCAAAUUUAAGAACAAAACCAUUAAAAGAGUAUAAAUAAAUCCACUACAAUUUACUUUGUGAAACAACAGCCUGUCAGCUAAUAGUUCACAAAUUAUUAAUAAAGUAUGUGAUCAUAAAACAUGAGAGUUAUAAUCUACCAUAUAAUUCAUUAAAAACAAAACAAAACAAAAACCACAAACAAACAAACCUGAAGAUUUAAAAUUCUUACAGCUAAAACUGAAUAACAGCUUUUAUCAAAAUCUGUUUAAAGUCAGAAGGUAGCAGGUCAGUAAGUUAUAGCAUGUGUUCUCUCACAAUAUCUUCCACAGUGUCUCUUGUUUAAAUCCACAUUAAUCUCCAGUUUUGUGAGAAAUGAGUUGAGUACCCAGACCAGGCUCCAUAAAAAUGAACAAAAUCUCUAGUGUUGGGUAUAUGCAUCACUCCUUGCUAACAUCUGGCUUUCACUGUGUCGUGCUGUCAAAACUCUCAUCCUGAUUAACGUAACUUUGGCUUCUCAACCUAGGUAGCAGGGGCACUUCCAUUCUUAUCAGAAGGAGUAAUUUCUUUAAUCCUUGUCAUUCUGUAGUUCUUAGUGGAUGUAGCCAACUGCACAGUGACAAACUUGGGGAUCCAUUGUGUCAGCCAGCUGUUAGAACACCUCAGAUGUGUCUUUGUAAUAAAGUUUCUAACCUAGAUCAUUGUGUCCUACAUUAGCACUUGCAUAGCAGUGGAACAAACAAUUUUCACUAAUUUUAUUUCUAGGACAGCAAAGCUGUCAUUCCAGAUUACUUAACUGUAAUUAUCAUUUUAAUUGUAGAAAUGGUGAGUUUUGCAGGCAACAGAUUUUACCACCAUCUCUGAAUGUGUAAAUUUUAAUUAUAUACUGAAGAUUAUUAAGUCGACAUUAGAUUCACAAUAUAAUGAGUAAGCGCAGAAUACUGAUAACCUGUCCUUCAAGGCCUGAUUGAAUUGUUUCCACAAAUUUUGGAACUUUUUAUGAGCCAUUAUUUUUGUUUAUUUUGUUGGUUUUGAUUUUCUUUUGAGUUUGGCAAAGCAGUUGUCAGGCACAGUAAGUUAUGAUUAAGUAUAUGCAGCUGCAAUGUUUCCUGCAUUUUUGCACCUGCACGUUGAGUAAUAAGACCCAAGAGAUUUGAAAAAAAAAACACAAAAAUCACACAGGAAGACAAAGGAGGACAGUGGAUUGGACAACAGGCUGCAAAAGAGGGUGUGACACUACAGGCUUGCCUUCUUAAGGGGGGUUCAGGACUGUGUGGAUAUUCAGUUUCAUACUGAUGGCAUAAAUACAAGUAUUUUUUUAUUUAUGCCACCCUGUAUUCAUACCUCCCAUAUUAUUUAAACAUGAAAUUAAAAAAAAAAAAAAAAAAAAGUAUUUCUUGUUAACAGGAAGUCUUCCAAAGAUGGUUACUGAAAAUACAUACUAUUAUCCUGAGGCACUAUAACAUCCAUAUUAAUCUCUCAAGAGAGCUCUUGGGAGGCUUGUUCUAUGAUUAUAUAAGAUGGUUUUGAAUUUCUUCACAAGAUAAUAAACAGUAUCAGCUUUUUCUACCACUUUCAUUACUAAGUCUGCAAGAAUUAGUGCAUCUCCUGUUGACGAGGUUUUGAAUAAAACCUGAGUAUUUCCCGGAUGAUAGGUCAGAUUGGCAAGAGAAUAUGUAUAGUAAGAUAAUUACAUUGUCACACAUUUCUUAUGAAAGUUGUAUAAAAUGCAUUAGAGUACCACAGUGCUAUCUCAAAUAUAAAGGCAAACAGAGGGUGAAAAAAAUAAUAACAAAAAUAAUUCCCCCCCCAAAAAGCCCUGACACAACAAUACAUUUUGCCUUAUGAUCAGCCCUUAGUAAACCACUUCACUAUGUGUAUUUAGUAACCAGAUGGAGGAGCCAAGAGUCCGUUCUUAUAAUUGACACACACAAAAAAACCCAACAUUACUACAGUUAUGGGAAUAAAAGAAGAUCGCUAAGUAAUCUGAAUGUAUUGUACUUUUCUGGGCUUUGAUAUUCAAGACCAUAUUAAAAUUCCGGUCAGAUCCUGAGAGUCUAAGUCACUCUGCAACAAAGCACUGAACAACUCCUGAGAAAACCCUUAAAAGUGAUUAUUGAAAAUGGUUAUUUUGGACAACUAUUCCCAGGAAAGCUGUGUUUUACAGAAAGGAAAAUUAUCAGCUCAAUUUGAAAGACUAAAUGUAUAAAUAUAUUACACUAAAAUCAGCACUAUGUAAACAUUUAAAACCUUAAGUCAGACACUCAAAACCUAAAAGUUGGAUACGCUCUGUUGAAGAUCACCUCAAAAAUCCAUUUUUGGCUUUUUAAAAUACAUGCUUUAAGACAUAGAUUUAUGGAAAAAUUACUUCGCAAUCACCUGUCUCAUUCAGCGAAUAGGAGGGGCAUUAACUAUUGAGGUUUAACUUUUCAUUAUUGUACAAAGUGUGCUAUAAAUGAACCCCAAGGCAACACAAUUCAAACUGUGCUUGACAGAAUUAUUUUUCUCUUUGCAGCCUUGCUCACUGUUUUUAACUCUCCUGUUUUAGGGGGGCUUUCAUGGUCCCAUUACUGCAACUCUCCUGGUGCCCUUGAAGCCACCUUUCCUGACCACACACCAUGGAUUAUAUGGGUGCUCCUCAAAGCACACUCUGACUUGUGAGAUUUCCCCACCCCAAAUGUUAUGGGAAACUCCCAGAGCCUUUAGAACACAGACAACUUGCAUAACCAGCUGGGGGACAUCCCCUGAAUCUCAAAGACCUGUUGUCAGCCAACAUUUAUUCUGCAAAGCAGCACCUCCUUACCGGAUACUAGCCCAUGACCCCACAUCUCACCUACUUUCUUUCAGGUGUACACUCUACUUAAAAUACAGAGCCAAAACAAUCAGGCAAGUCUGCUGGCAGACUACAGGUUGGAGGGAAGUUGGAGUGGGAUGGGAAGCCUCCUUGCUUCUCUCUAUAUGGAAAGACUAAACAAGAAAACUCAGUUUCAGAAAGGCCAUUCAGAACAGCCACUUCUUUGUAAAGGCUACUUACAGCUGGCAUAUGCUCAUACUAACGAAUUUUGCCAUCACCAAACAAAAACUCAAGGAGGUCUCAAUCAGAUUAAAGAUACAAGUUCUUAUUUGAAAGGAAAAGUACUACUGAUGCUCCAGAAAAUCCUCAGCACAGCAAGAAAUCCUGCUGACUUUUGUGGUCGUGCACUAUAGAAUCUUUUGGCAGAAGAGAAAGAGGCUUCAUAAUCUACCAAGCAGAGAAAACAUGACAAGAACACAGUAGCAUAGAAAUACUCAGUCUACAUGUAAUGCUGAGUUAGGGACUGACAGUAACCAGGAUUACACUGAAAAUAGGUAGAAUUGCUUCCUGGUCACAAUACGAUUCCUUCUGCCAGGGAGGAUCUUGUCACUCUUCUAGUGCUGUGACUCCAGCUGGCCUUUCACCUGGCCCUUAUCUCACAGCUCAAUACAUGCAAGCUUUUGGCCACCACUUUAGGAUUCAGAAAAUCUUCAUUUAGCAGCUGGACACCUUUCUCUGAGUGGCAGCCAGGUUGCCCUUCCUAGGCUGGAAUAGAUACUUACUUGUACUCAGGUAACAAGCAGCAAAUUCCCUGCCGUGCGCUAGCCAGUAGGGGCUGCCUUUUACACUUUUUUCUUUUUACUAUAAGCCUCUGUACUGACAAUUAGAAAGUAUUUUACACUUGGCAAAAGUUUAAAGUAUUUCCGUAAUUCAUCACAUGUGGUUGGCCAACAGUAACAACUGAUAGCUGCUGUCCUGCUCUACCAGGUAGAGAUAAAGACCACGCUUUGCUAAUAGAAGAUAUCUUCCUUCAGGACAGACCAUGUAAACCUUGGAUUCCCUUGCAAGCAUUGGUAGUGAGAGGCUAAAAACAGCUGCAGGUUCCACCAAGAUGGACUUCUUUUUCUGUGGACAACCCAAAUCCUUUGCUGAUUUAUUUUCUUUGACUCCAUUCUUAGGCUUAUCUUUUUGCCUCAUCAGCUCUAACAUUACCCCAGCAGCUGAUUUAGCCUCUUUCUGCCUUUAUACCUCGAGCGCCGGUGCACCUUAGGACGUAGUUACACUUGUCUGCCACAGUCAGCUCUUCCCAUUAAACACCAUCUCCACUUGUUUGGGUUCCUCUUACUUGCUAAACUUAUAGCCCAAAUGAGUAAUACCAAACAAAUCAUAAGGAACUGAAAACUACAUCUUACCAUUAAAAGUGGCCAAUAAUUGUGGGAGACACCACACAAAGCUAUUUAUCUCCCUGUGAGUGAGAAUAUCAGGAAGGGAGGAGGUUUCUAAGAAACUGCCUAAGAUAACUUUUACUGGGUGAAUUGCUAGGGAUCCAUUACAGCUGUUGACUAAAUACUGACAGCUGGGGCUCAUUGACCAUCACCCCUCCCACAACCCACUGUUAAAAAAAAAAAAAAAAAGGAAAAAAAUCUUUCAGAAAGCAUGAUUGUGUGAUUGUGCUGCAAUUGAAAUAAUCCGUGGGAGAGAGCUUCUCUUUCAAAUUGUCAGUUUAUUUUUUAAUUAUGAUUCUGCAGUUCUUGAGGAGUAUCAUCUAUUUUUUCUACUUGCAAUGAAUUCACUUCUGCAAUUAGCUAUCUGAAAUACAUAUGUAUGUACAUAAAAAUACAAACAUAUAUACAUACACUUUACUCUCUUUUUCUCUCCACACUAAGUACAGAACUAGUAAGAAGUCAGGGAAUUAAAAAAAAUAAAAAAAAAAAAAAAAAUUGAAGUAGUGCUAAAAUUUGGCUGAAAUUGUGCUUAGGUAGUAGGUAGACCUUUUGCCUGUGAAGCUGAAUUCCCCCUAACAUAUUACUCUAAUUGAAAUUACACCAAAAAAUAUACAUAAUGUUUAUAAAACAGAUUUGGGCACUUUCUGUAAAAGGAGAACUACACACAAGUAAGGACAGAUGGAAAAAACACACCCUACUUUACUUAUCCAUCUGCCUGUGUUGGCCUCCUCCAGUGCUUGGAGAUGUCUCUUUGAAAGAGCAGGUGUAAGGUGGCCCUUUCUGUCCUCACUUAUGCAUCCCAGCAGACUUGUUCCCCCAGCGUCACCAGCUAACAAAGUAUGCCAGUGCCACCUUCUUCUCCUCUCCCUGCUCACAGAUCCUCUGUCAGUCCGAAAACCAUCAACUGUCAUUAUACCACAGUAUUUAGCUAAGCCUAAUAUAUAAAAGUACUUAGGUAAUAAACAGAAGAAAAACAAAAAUACAGAAAAUAAUUAUGGGUCAGAUCCAUAGAACAAUAUGAGCUUUGGUUCAGGACCCUUGUGCAUCUGUGAAAAUAGCAGUGAUCAAUUCUUCCUGGUGUGGGUAAAGCAUUUUGAAAUUAUUUUGAACAGAUGUGUCAUUAUUUACCUUAAUUACCAUGGCCAGGUAGAAUACCUAUUUCCAAAUUGCUCUUGAGAGAAUAUCCUUUGUUUCUGUUAGGCCUAUUACUAUUAUAAUUUCCACACCCUGGGAACUUUUUUCUGUUUUUAAAGGUCUUUUGCCCCAGAUUCAAACUUAAAUCAAUCACAGAUGUUUUUCCAAUGUACAUUCUUUAAACAGAAUGGGCCAAUCUGCAAUUUCUUACCUUGUAAUUACUUUCAAUGGGGCUGUAGUAAGUGCUUGUAGUAGUGAAAAUCUGCAAUUGCUUAAGGACUAUUAUGGAUAUAUAGUUACAGUAAGUACAAAACUAAUUUCCUUGUGUUGCACAUACCCACAAACAAAUGCAAAGCCAGUGUAGAGACUUCUAAUACAGAUGACUGACAUUAGCUUUACUAUAGCAUGAUGCUCCUGAAAUCACUUGAAUUAGGCUAAAGAAGGAAUACUUAAACCCAGAUUUGGAAUACCCUCCAAAAUAUGUGGAGAAUUCAGACUUUAUGGUUUGCUUGGGCUUUCUGUUAAAACAGAAGUUCAGACUUUACUCAAAACGUUGUUCCUGCAUUUUCUUUUCCUCAUCUAACACUAGGUUUGUACAUGAGGUUUUUUGUACAAACUGGAAAAUACUUUGCUUAAGCAGGAAAGAUAGCAUAAAGAACAAUUUGCUUGACUAUAUGUCCUGGUUUUGUUAAAAACAAGACCGGUUUUCUUUUAGUGAUUUUUUUUCUUUCAGCUAAGUUCUUCUAAGUACCUUCUACGUAACUGCACUUUUCUGAAUUAAACUACAUGUUUUUCAGACACUGCGCUCCAGACCUGGUAAGAUGACCAACUGAACGCUGAAGAAGCUCACGUUUAGAUUUAUUGCUAUGAUAGCCAAGAAUUCUGAUAAAAUUUCACAUGUUCCAUUGUGAGGGGGCCAUGUUUGCAAGGAGCGGGGGGACAGAAUAGGUGACUAAAACUGACCAACUGAGUAUUCCAUCCCAUACACAUCAUACACCCUAUAAAAGAGGGAGAUCACGAGGGUCUCAUGCUCUUUGAUCAUGGCUGGCAUCUGAAGAACACCCUGCCUGUCAUCCCUGCAAAUCCAAGGCCUGAGACCCUGCAUCCCUGAAUCCAGUUCCGGUUUGUUGUGAAGUCCUGCCCAGGGCUUCUGGGUGCCUUACCUGCUAGAGUUAUGCCAACUCCAUACUGGGCAACGCUGCUACCCCCGGAAAAUCAAGAUUGGUUUUGUUUAUUUUGUAUAUUUUCUCUAUUUAUUAGUAGCAUUAGUAAAGCCUUUAAACCCUUUCCAACUUGCAAAGCCUCUCUUCCUUAUCCUUUUUUUUUAUCCACUUUUUCCUAUCUGAAGAGAGGGCGGAGGGAAGAUUAACAGAGAACAUCUGCCACAGUUUGUUGUCACCACUCAGUUAAACCCUGACACUAUAUAAAGAUUAAUUCCACAGAAGUGUCAUUACAUGGCCCUUACUGAAGUUACUCUCAGCUUAUACAACUGUAAAUGAGAAGGUGAUUUUAUCAUCUGUGAAAACUGCACACAGAGGAUGCAUAAACAGAUGCAUCUCAACCUUAAACAUGUGAUGCUUCCACUAGCAGUUAGGGACCAGAUAAACAACACCCACAUGAGUUCUUUUAAGUUCUCCUACUAUCUUUUUUGGUCUGAUGCCUCUGGAAAUAAUUAGCAAGUCCUCACAAAUGACAUUUAUAUAAGUGCUGACAAACCCUGAAAUAUACAGUAAGUCUUUUUUUUUUAAAAAAAGAAAAUACAUAGUGAAUGAUGAUCACCUACAAUAUGAAUUACAGAUUCUGUGCAAGUUAGCCUGAUUCAUGAUUAUGCAGUGCUUAAGGGUCUGCUGCUACAUUUACAUUUUUACCAUGAGCUUUUUUGGUUUGCAUCAUCUUGAAAUAUAGAUUAAAACUCCACAGCCAGAUGAUUAAUUAAGUCUAAAAAACCCUGUGUGCCUGAUCUCCAUGUACUGAAAAUUAAUGCAGUGCAGUUUUUAUCCCAGAUGAAUAUCUAGCUCUGAAUUUCAGUGAGACGCUAAUACUUUAGGACUGAAGGUUUUAUUUACAGAAUUUAUUUUUGCUGGGUGGAAGAACAAAUGUAAUCAUAUUUUGAUAUUAAAUCAAUAUGUUGCACACAUUCUUUAGAUGCUAUCUUUCAUCUGGAAAAAACAAAACAAAACAAAACAAAACAAAACACCAAAUUGUGGAAUGUUUAGUGGAAAACUCAAGAGAGGACAAGAGACUUAGACACAAAAAGUAACCUAUCUCUGCCCAAAGUGUGUGGUACUAAAAAGUUCCACAUGGGAAUUCAAAGACGUUGGCUGUGCAUAUCAGUAUCUGGGCUGGCUGACUGCAAAAGCUGAUAAGAACAGCCAUACUGCUUAGUACAGGAAUAGUUUUUUAAACUAUUUUGGAGAACUGAAUAAUGUGUCUAAAUAGUGAAUCAGUGAUGUGUGUUUUCCAACACCUUGUUUGUGCAGGGAAAAUCUGUCUUCCAAUCAAUUAUUCAAAACAUAACUGCUAACCUAUUUAAGUUUGAAUAUAGGUGUACAGGAACCAUGUUUUUCAGCUACACUCCAACCCUGGAAUCCCUGCAGAAUAAAGUAAAUGGAUGACUAUGUCCAGUGAACUAUUCAGAACAGUAAAUCUUUCACAAUUCUGGGGCAAUGUGUCAAAGAAAUAUAGGUGUUCCCUAAAUACAGAAAAGCCUAUUUAAGGAUAACUUGCAGAAAGUGUGUAAAAAUACUUCCAACUUCUGCAAGUCUUCCAAUGUAACUUAAAGCAUGAUGGCUGCCCCAUUCGUGUCAAAGGUUAACAAAAUUUCUUCAAUAAUUUAUCAAGGUUAAAGUUUUUCUCUAAACAAAUACAACUUCAGUGAACUAUUUAGAUACUCAGUCUGCCUUUCAACAUGGAAGAUUAAAUAAGCUGUAGCGUUUUGCAAUUUUAGUUUAUGGUGUAUUUUGCAGAAUCUUCACAUUAGUUUCAUUUUUAGGAGAGCUGAACAUUAAUAUAGAAAUAAUGUGAUCAGUAAUUUUAUGUAAUGUGCUGUUUUACCCUCAGCCAUUGACAAGGAAAUAGAACUAAAAUUGGAAGCAAUUGCAGUGCCCCAGCAUUUGAACCAAAACCAAUUACAGUAUUAGUAAUUAAUGUUAAAGCACAAUAAUAUGCUUAUUUAAGACAAUCCCUAAACCAUCUUAUUUGUUACGUAUAUUAUAGAAAUUCAAUCUAGAAUUGCCAGAUACAGCUCAUUGAGAUUUCUCGGUUCAAUUAGGAGCUUUCUGGUUUGAGAUAUUAAAAAUAAUAUUAAUUAUGUGGUAACAGCUGCUAUAACAUACUUCCAACAUCUCAUUAAGAAAAGAUAAGUCAGAUUUUAUCAUCAUAUAUGAAAACUGUUCAAAAGUUGUGAUUUGCUAUUUUAUCAUUUUUAGAUCUUGCAACAUUCAAGGCCAGACUGGAUGGGACUCUGAGCAACCUCAUCUGGGUGAACACGUCCCUGUUCAUUGCAGGAGGGUUGGACUAGAUGACCUUUGGAUGUCCCUUGCAACCCAAACUAAUCUAUAAUUCUACAGUUCUAUGCCAUUUACAUUGAGAGUGUCAAAAGUGGGCACUAGUUGUGUGUGUUUGUUUAUGGUUAUUUAAGACAUAUAUUUAUAGGAAAGCUGGCUAGUCCUCACUGCUUCUGGAAUCAAUAGAAACUGUGUGUUCAGCAUAUCAAUGGGCUUCUUGUCUGGAAAUCCAGGUUGCAGUCAUACACAAAUAAAUGGCCGUUCUUGAUUUCGCAGUCAGUAAACAUAAAUAAUUAAGGCUUGUGAUGUACUCAGGUACUACCAUGUGCAUGAUUUGAAAAAGAAAGAAUAAAAUAAAUCCAUGAGAAAGCAACUGUGCUGCCAAAGACUUAAACACCGUGCGGUAAAUGAGUACAAGCUGCUCACUGAACAGGGCAAGUAUCAUUUCUCCACCCAGCUGUUCUGCCCGUCCUGGGGCAGGAAUAUGUGGAUCAGUGGGCAGAGACACCUGGCUCUGAGAAAAAAAUCUGUUCCUCUACUGAACAGCACAGAAAUAAAUAAAAUAGUGAGCAGUUGCUCCCGAACUGAGCAUUUUCUGCUCUGCUCACUGAAUACAGACUAUGCCACUGUCUCUGGAGUUUCAUGUAGGCAGCGAAGGUGCCAAAUUGAAGAUGCUCAGGGAGCUUUACAGAAUCACAGUCACAGAAUGGUUGGGGUUGGAAGUGACAUCUGGAGAUCAUCUAUUCCAACCGACCUGCUAAAAUAGGUUCACGUAGAGCAGAUUGUGCAGGAAUGUGUCCAGGGGGGUCUUGAAUGUCUCCAGAGAAGGAGACUCCACAACCUCUCUGGGCAGCCUGUUCCAGUGCUCUGUCACCCUCAAAGUAAAGGAGUUUUUCCUCAUAUUCAGAUAGAACCUUCUAUGCUUCAGUCUGUGCCCGUUGUCCCUCAUCCUAUCGCUGGGCACCACUGAGAGGACUCUGGUACAUCUUCUUGAUAUCCGCCCUUCAUAGUGGAAUUCCUAACAAGAAUAUAUGCACCUUUUCUAUCUUCAGUAAACUCAUUCCAAGUUCAUCUUUUCAGUGUCACUCCCUGGCUUUUAAAAAACAGAGCCCCAGAUGCCACCUUCUGUACUCACACCAGCGUGGUUCAGCAGAAGGGUUCGAACCUUUGGCUCCACUAAGGAAAUUGCAGUCAUUUUGGCUAAUGGAAUAAUGGGUAGCAAUCUAAGCUUGUUAUUCUCAGUCUGAAUCAGCACUAGAGAGGAAUGGACACUUUACUAGCUUUUUUCACAGAUAUUUGUGACAGCAAAGAAAUUAUGGUUUUCAGUUCAUUUCCAUGUAUUUGAUUGAAGCAUGCUCUCUUAGAAGCCUCAAUGCUCCCUGCCAAUUUCCUCUUCUCCCCUCUCAUCUCCAAACUGUCUGUUUUGCAGGAUUGUGUCUUAGCUGUUGUUCCUCAUUUCACGGUCCUCUCCUCUCAGUCCCAACCUUUGCUCCAUAAACUCCAGCUCAAAUCAUUUACAGAUUACAUCUGGACUGCAGUUUUUCAAAGUCUUAUAAGAAAACCCAAUUUGAAUGGAAUUUCAGAAGAAUAAGGAUAAAACAACCACCAUACCAAGUUUCAGAUUGUAAAUUUUCUUGGACAGAAACCAUAUCUUAUCGCUUUGAGUGGUCCCUGUGCAACUUUUAGGUUUUUUUGGAAAGAAGCAGUGAAUCAGGGUAUGGAGGGAUUAAUCUGCUGGGUGGCUUUUUGGGAAUUGGUUCACCCUUGCCCACACACCACAGAAAAAGAGCAUCUCAUCAUUUUGGACUUUGAGUUUCUACUACCGCUAACAAGUUUCUGAAACUGCUUUAUACUUUCAUAUAAUGAUGUCUGUUCUUACUGAAAUUACAUGGUUGUACUAUCAGUACAAUGCAAAUAAAAAUGCAUGUCUGAGAAGAAUAGUGAAAAACGGACAGAGAGGAGAAAUCAAUGUGUAAAUGGUGAAUUUUCUUUUAGUUUUUAUAUACUGAGUAGGUUUGGGGGGCGGGGGGGCAUUCCUGAAAUUAAUCACAAAAAUGGUAUUCUUUUUUGGUUGUGUUCUUUGGGAUUUUCUCUGUUCCCCUUUCUUUUUCAUUUACAUUAUACAUUACUGAGCACAAUCAGCUAAAUGACUUUCAAGGUAUUUUUCCUAAACUACCCCUUUUUUCCUCAUUUUGAUUGCUUUGAACUUCAUUCAACUUUUUUUUUUUUCUUUUUUUCUUCUUUUUUUAAAUGUGCAGAGAACAGAAUCAAAUAAAGGUGUCUCUCAAUCUACUGAAUACCUCAAGUUUUGCUGAUGAUUUGUAAAGUGGGAGUACAGAAAAAAAAUCACACUCUCCCAAACCCCAACUCUUCAUAUCAGAUCUCUGAGAAAAUUUAGGAGCAAAGGAAGAAUAUAGAAAAUGGAAGGAAAGAUAGCCCAAAGCUGAAAGGGCACAAGCUCACAAAUUUGAUGAUUUAGUAUUUCAAAAUGAAAAAAAUAUUGAAACAGGUCCCUAAGUACACUUGAUUCAUGCUCACAGAGCUUGCCUCUAACACAUCUCACAGAUAAUUAAAUUGAUUUUAUAGUGAGCUAAUAGUGAUUUGACAGGACCCCAACAUGAAAAAAGGGCAGUACCUCUUAUUCAUAUAACUUGCUUUGUGUUGGCUUGGAGUAAUCUUGCAGCUGGGAAGAGUAUCUAAUCACUUUGCUUAUGCAGGUGGCAACUGAGUCACUGUGGCAAUUCAUAGUUACACUGACAUAAGACAGUAAUGAAAUUUCUGGUGAGAUUUGGAAAAAAAGAUGAAAGACUUAUUGACACAGAGAAUAAAAUUACACUCUAAAUGAGUCCUUACCUAACGCCAAGGGAUAUUGGGGAAAAGACUCCAUUGAUUCCCAAUGAACAAUUAAAGCAAUGGAGAAGGAGACAGCUCCAAUUUAGAAACUCAGAAGAUUGCCAAGUGUCUGGGAAUCUAUCUCGAAGAACAGAGGAAAAUGAUCUCAUAUAAUAAAAUUAACCGUAAAACAACAUCAGCUACAUUUUCCAAAGUAAUAGUGCCAGUAAUUUAUAAAAUGGGCACCCUGGAGCACCAACACAUGCAACUCAGCGCACUAUCAAAAGGCAGUAAAAUAUCUGAACACACAUACACCCACUCACACACCCACAUAGCCCCCAUCCAGCUUACUUAGACAGGUGGCAAUUUGAACAUUUCACUCUUUGCUGGCUGUUACACAACCCAGGAUUUGUUAUAUGAAUGUCUGCUGUCUAUUUUAUUUUCCCAAAGGACAUAACUUUACAAAAAUACUAACCCAAUUGUCAAAAGUUGUAAUUCUUGAUAUGCAGAAAGGCCCACAUAAGCAAAGUAACAAUCCCAGUCUGGCCAGCUUUAGACUAGUGACAGGUUUUGCACUAACACUUGUUAUCCUUAGAGAAACUUGAUCUCCCAAGUUGCUUUUCAAAAGCAGAAUAAUUUCAGAGAAAUACACAUGUUGAAUGCAUUGUCCAAAUGACCACCUGAGCUACAGGGGGACCUUGAUCAAGAUUUAAAACCACAGAUCAGAGAGACAAUCUAGUCCAUGUUCUCCAUCUCCAUUCAGAAGUUGGUGCAAUAUUCAGUUUAGGAAGCAAAAUUAGAUUAUCCUCUGGAAAUUGAGAUAGAACCAGUUCCCACCAGAAAGGAGACUGGAAAGCACCCAUUGUACAUGGAGACUUAGAACUGUGUGGAAAAAAUGCCAGUUUCUUCUCUUUUUUUCAAGUCACCUACAAAUUUUUUUUCUUGAAUAAAAGACGAAAGACAAGAGCCUAUAGUGGUUUAUUUAAAAAACUGUUUUUGAGAACAUUGAGAAUUUUAAUUAAAAAGCCCUGUGACAAAUUUUUCUAGAAGCAGCCAAAUACAUAGACCAAUAUAGAAUUGGUCCAUGCUUGGUGGCUUAAUUGAAAAGUAAUUACAGUAAAAAUGAACUGCAAUGGCAAGAAAUCUGUCAGGUGUUGGUUGGCUAUCUUAGACAGAAUAAUCAAUGUCCAGCACUUUCUUCUUCUGUGGAAUAAUACCCUCCGAAACAACGAGGAGGAAAACCACCACUGCCAGGUAAGGAAACUUUAUUGUUUUUGCUCUACAUGUAUCUCUGCAACAAGUUUCCAGGGUUGUUAAAUCUACCAUUCACAAAUGCUUAUUACAGAAUCACAGAAACAGAGAAUCACAGAAUGCUUGGGAUCAGAAGGGACCUCUGGAGAUCACCUAGUCUAAUCCCCCUGCUAAAGUAGGUUCACCCAGAUUGUGUCCAGGUGGGUUUUGAAGUUAUCCAGAGAAAGAGCCUCCAUGACCUCUCUGGGCAGCCUAUUCCAGUGCUCUGUCACCCUCAGGGAACUUUCUCUUCAUAUUUCAGAUGGAA